Labrus bergylta (ballan wrasse) is the source of this 381-nucleotide non-coding RNA. The record is from the annotation of a RefSeq genome assembly. Lineage: Eukaryota; Metazoa; Chordata; Actinopteri; Labriformes; Labridae.
AUGACUUUGAUGUGCGUCCUCAUCUGGACUCUCCUCCUCUGCUGCUGCUUCACAGAGUCCAGAGGACAGGUCACAGUGACUCAGCCUGCAGCAGUGAGCUCUGCUCUGGAGCCUCCGUCUCCAUCUCAUGUAGACCAGUCAGGAUGUUUAUUAUAGCAGCUACCACUGCUUAGCCUGGUACCAACAGAAAAGAUGAGAACUCCUAAACUCUUAUUUACAGUUGCUAGCACUCGAGAAUCAGGGAUUCCAGGUCGUUUUUCAGGCAGUGGAUCAAACUCUGCCUUCACUCUGACCAUCAGUGGAGUCCAGACUGAAGAUGCAGCAGUUUACUACUGUCAGAGUUUUCAUAGCAUCAGCAGUCAGUAUGUGUUCACACAGUGA